This is a long non-coding RNA of Gracilinanus agilis (Agile Gracile Mouse Opossum), 515 nucleotides long. RefSeq lists it as uncharacterized. Lineage: Eukaryota; Metazoa; Chordata; Mammalia; Didelphimorphia; Didelphidae. The record is from RefSeq and is a predicted model, not a curated record. The transcript is spliced from 3 exons.
CAAGGAGAGACAUAGACGGGGAGAGACCAACACACGGAGAGACACACACACAGAGAGUGAGAGAGAAAACGAAUAUCACUUUGGAGCCAUCCGAGGCCGAUGCACAAAAUCUGGAUGAACAUGUAAAUUUGGCCACAUUCCAGUCCAUCUUCACCUGAACACAUCAGACUCAUCCAGGGACAAGACAAAAAUAUGGAUGACCAGCGAUGGCCCAGGAUGCAGUGGAUGACCUUGGUGUUUUUGAUGUCUGACCAAGCUCUAAGUGCUCCAAAGCACUGCUUUAGCUAUUUUUCAUGGCCUCUGGAACAAACUAUUUUCAUCUCUCUGUUGCACUGGGAAAGUCCUCUUUAACUCAUUGAUGGGUUUGUAGCUCACUCAUUACUCUCCACUUAGUUUAGCCUUUCUGCUGAAAUAGUUUACUGGGGUAGGUUCACUGCCAGGUGGACACCAAAGGUAGAUGAAUAGCCCAAAGGGACCUAAGAAAUGAUGAUGUUCAGGCAUGAGUUAGGUGCCAU